CUUACCAUGCAGUCGAACGAUGAAGCCCUGCUUGCAGGGUGGAUUAGUGGCGAACGGGUGAGUAACACGUGAGUAACCUGCCCCUGACUCUGGGAUAAGCCCGGGAAACUGGGUCUAAUACCGGAUAUGACUUCCUACUGCAUGGUGGGUUGUUGAAAGAUUUAUCGGUGGGGGAUGGACUCGCGGCCUAUCAGCUUGUUGGUGAGGUAAUGGCUCACCAAGGCGACGACGGGUAGCCGGCCUGAGAGGGUGACCGGCCACACUGGGACUGAGACACGGCCCAGACUCCUACGGGAGGCAGCAGUGGGGAAUAUUGCACAAUGGGCGGAAGCCUGAUGCAGCGACGCCGCGUGAGGGAUGACGGCCUUCGGGUUGUAAACCUCUUUCAGUAGGGAAGAAGCGAAAGUGACGGUACCUGCAGAAGAAGCGCCGGCUAACUACGUGCCAG
RNAcentral lists this ribosomal RNA (448 nucleotides) under uncultured bacterium. Its description in RNAcentral is "bacterial SSU rRNA". It matches the Rfam family "Bacterial small subunit ribosomal RNA", at positions 48 to 511 of the family's 1533-position model. The record is from RNAcentral.